Molecule: long non-coding RNA, 255 nt
Filed under: Homo sapiens (human)
Lineage: Eukaryota; Metazoa; Chordata; Mammalia; Primates; Hominidae
Description: HSALNT0372410
Source: RNAcentral
UCCAAUGCUCAUAGUCAUGUGUUCAUGGACAAGGCAGUUUCCAUCUCCCAGCUCUGCUUCCUUAACAGUGAAGUGGAGACAGCCAUGUUUAUUCUUCCUACACAGUUUCUUCCUUAGUACUCCAAGUGGACUAACAAAGACUUCCCCAAAAUGUGUGUGACUUCUACAACUACUUAAAAAGCAUCCAGCCAGGCACAGUGGCUCAUGUCUGUAAUCCCAGCACUUCAGGAGGCCAAGGUGGGCGGAUCACGAGGU